Molecule: transfer RNA, 69 nt
Filed under: Ictidomys tridecemlineatus (thirteen-lined ground squirrel)
Lineage: Eukaryota; Metazoa; Chordata; Mammalia; Rodentia; Sciuridae
Description: Spermophilus tridecemlineatus (thirteen-lined ground squirrel) tRNA
Rfam family: tRNA
About the family: Transfer RNA (tRNA) molecules are approximately 80 nucleotides in length. Their secondary structure includes four short double-helical elements and three loops (D, anti-codon, and T loops).
Source: Rfam by way of RNAcentral
GGGGUUAUGACUCAGAGGUAGAGUGCUCACCUAGCAUGUGAGAGGCAGUGGGUUCGAUCCUCAGCACCA